AUCGCUUCAUGGCCUUUUGGCGAAGAUCCAGUAUGGGAUCUAUUCUUA
Molecule: small nuclear RNA, 48 nt
Filed under: Cervus elaphus hippelaphus
Lineage: Eukaryota; Metazoa; Chordata; Mammalia; Artiodactyla; Cervidae
Source: RNAcentral